RNAcentral lists this ribosomal RNA (522 nucleotides) under uncultured bacterium. RNAcentral's name for it is "bacterial SSU rRNA". It matches the Rfam family "Bacterial small subunit ribosomal RNA", at positions 996 to 1509 of the family's 1533-position model. The record is from RNAcentral.
GCAUCAGAGAUCGGUGCCCCCCGUUGUGGUCGGUGUACAGGUGGUGCAUGGCUGUCGUCAGCUCGUGUCGUGAGAUGUUGGGUUAAGUCCCGCAACGAGCGCAACCCUUGUCCCGUGUUGCCAGCAACUCUUCGGAGGUUGGGGACUCACGGGAGACCGCCGGGGUCAACUCGGAGGAAGGUGGGGACGACGUCAAGUCAUCAUGCCCCUUAUGUCUUGGGCUGCACACGUGCUACAAUGGCCGGUACAAUGAGCUGCGAUACCGCAAGGUGGAGCGAAUCUCAAAAAAGCCGGUCUCAGUUCGGAUUGGGGUCUGCAACUCGACCCCAUGAAGUCGGAGUCGCUAGUAAUCGCAGAUCAGCAUUGCUGCGGUGAAUACGUUCCCGGGCCUUGUACACACCGCCCGUCACGUCACGAAAGUCGGUAACACCCGAAGCCGGUGGCCCAACCCCUUGUGGGAGGGAGCUGUCGAAGGUGGGACUGGCGAUUGGGACGAAGUCGUAACAAGGUAAGCGUAGAUGA